UCCCAUAAGCUCUGCGAGUGAGUAGC
Molecule: non-coding RNA, 26 nt
Filed under: Homo sapiens (human)
Lineage: Eukaryota; Metazoa; Chordata; Mammalia; Primates; Hominidae
Source: RNAcentral